GAUGGGAUCUGGUCAGUGGAAUUUAAUUUUAAACACACGCCUUAGCGUGAGGGUGAUAAUGUAGCAUAAUAAUUUGGCAUUUAAUUGAUGUUUGGAAGGAAUGGUGAAACGAUUUUAUAUCUGUCUCAAAUUUUUAUGAAUAAAAAUUAAAUUUAUAGUUAAGAUUUUAUAUUAAGCUUAAAAGACGAGAAGACCCCAUAAACCUUUACUAUAAAUUAUAUAAAUUUAACUUUAAAGUUAAAUUUAUAUAAAAUGGUAGUUUGGCUGGGGCGGCAAUCUUCUAAAAUAACGAAGAUAUAUAUUUAUAAUAACGUUAUUUUUUUUUAAAAAAAUUUUUAUAAAUUGUUUUAAAAAAAAUUAUAACAAAAAGAAAUUUGAUAUAUUGACCUUUUUUUUUAAAAAAAAAAU
Molecule: ribosomal RNA, 408 nt
Filed under: Pantachogon sp. RK-2014
Lineage: Eukaryota; Metazoa; Cnidaria; Hydrozoa; Trachymedusae; Rhopalonematidae
Description: partial 16S ribosomal RNA
Source: RNAcentral